This 497-nucleotide ribosomal RNA is filed under the name uncultured bacterium. Its description in RNAcentral is "partial 16S ribosomal RNA". It matches the Rfam family "Bacterial small subunit ribosomal RNA", at positions 28 to 507 of the family's 1533-position model. The record is from RNAcentral.
GAUGAACGCUGGCGGCGUGCCUAAUACAUGCAAGUCGAGCGAACGGACGAGAAGCUUGCUUCUCUGAUGUUAGCGGCGGACGGGUGAGUAGCACGUGGAUAACCUACCUAUAAGACUGGGAUAACUUCGGGAAACCGGAGCUAAUACCGGAUAAUAUUUUGAACCGCAUGGUUCAAAAGUGAAAGACGGUCUUGCUGUCACUUAUAGAUGGAUCCGCGCUGCAUUAGCUAGUUGGUAAGGUAACGGCUUACCAAGGCAACGAUGCAUAGCCGACCUGAGAGGGUGAUCGGCCACACUGGAACUGAGACACGGUCCAGACUCCUACGGGAGGCAGCAGUAGGGAAUCUUCCGCAAUGGGCGAAAGCCUGACGGAGCAACGCCGCGUGAGUGAUGAGGGUCUUCGGAUCGUAAAACUCUGUUAUUAGGGAAGAACAUAUGUGUAAGUAACUGUGCACAUCUUGACGGUACCUAAUCAGAAAGCCACGGCUAACUACGUG